This 722-nucleotide long non-coding RNA is filed under the name Homo sapiens (human). RNAcentral describes it as "long intergenic non-protein coding RNA 327". The record is from RNAcentral. Lineage: Eukaryota; Metazoa; Chordata; Mammalia; Primates; Hominidae.
GGAGUACUGGGUCCACUGGAGAGCGAAGAGCCGCGGCCGCCAGGAUUCCCAGCAGCGGCCGCGUGUUGAGAGCCUAGAAGUGGCCCCGAAGCCGUGCCUUUCCCGAUAGCCAAGCAGAAGUAGGACUUGAAGCACCGAGGCUGGGAUGCCCAUGCUGGUGACGCCUUGGGGCUCGCAGUUAUACUUGGUGACCGGUCUACACGGCGAUUCGGUGCUUUCCGGAGUAGCAGAUUCAUCUAUCUUUAGACCCACCUUCGUCCUUCGGCGGUUUAGCACGGCCUGCGCUUUCCUGCGAGCCCUGCUGUCACCCGAACAGCCUGAUGACUUCACGCUCAACCACUGGAGGGCACAACCACAUCAUUUUUAAAAAAUAGAUUCCUCCACUUAAAGGACAUGGUUUUGGGGGAAAGAACAUUUAAAAAAUGUAAAAAGAUAUAUAUCUAUAUCUAUAUAUCUAUCUCAGAUUGUUCUGAUAUAAACUCAGGUGGGAUUCUUCAAAACAGGAGGCUGUUCCAGUCUCUUCAUUUUGCAGCUGAGAAAACGAAGGCCUUGGAGCUUGAGAACUCCAGUUGCCCAAGGCACACAGGUGGUGGUGAAAGCAUAUUGACUUUCCUGACUUCUUAUGACCACAUUUGAGGAAAGGAGUAAGCACUGGAAUCACCAACACAGCAUGCUUACGGAGGGUGGUCACCAGCUUCAUCAGCCUCCCAAUUCCACGGAGC